This is a long non-coding RNA of Aethalodelphis obliquidens (Pacific white-sided dolphin), 359 nucleotides long. RefSeq lists it as uncharacterized. The transcript is spliced from 2 exons. Lineage: Eukaryota; Metazoa; Chordata; Mammalia; Artiodactyla; Delphinidae. The record is from RefSeq and is a predicted model, not a curated record.
CAGCGGCGCAGGGCGCGGAGGCGGCGUGAGCGAAGUGACCGUGCGUGUAGAGUGGGACAGGCUCUUAGUUUAAAAUUGUAGGCCGGACUCGCCGUGCCGACUGUCAGCCUAAAGCUGGAUCUGCUCUUCCGAGCCCUGGGCCGGACCUACACUGCGGGAGAAUUUGGUGAACUAUGUUCUUGGGCUGCCAAGAAGUUCAUUCAGGUUGUUCCAUAACAUCUUUACUUUGGUAUUAAAGUAAUGGAGGUCUGCUAAUAAUCACCAAUAUUGUUCGACUUACAAACCAUGUCUGUAUACUGAGAGUGCAUAGUGGAAUUGACUGGAAUAAUGUAACUGUAAGAAUCACUAUCUUUUCAGUU